Molecule: ribosomal RNA, 348 nt
Filed under: uncultured bacterium
Lineage: Bacteria
Description: bacterial SSU rRNA
Rfam family: Bacterial small subunit ribosomal RNA
Source: RNAcentral
AGCGAACGCUGGCGGCAGGCCUAACACAUGCAAGUCGAACGGUCCUUCGGGACAGUGGCGGACGGGUGAGUAACACGUGGGAACGUGCCUUUAGGUUCGGGACAACCCAGGGAAACUUGGGCUAAUACCGGAUGUGCCCUUCGGGGGAAAGAUUUAUCGCCUUUAGAGCGGCCCGCGUCUGAUUAGCUUGUUGGUGAGGUAAUGGCUCACCAAGGCUACGAUCAGUAGCUGGUCUGAGAGGAUGAUCAGCCACACCGGGACUGAGACACGGCCCAGACUCCUACGGGAGGCAGCAGGUGGGGAAUCUUGCGCAAUGGGCGAAAGCCUGACGCAGCCAUGCCGCGUGGA